AGAGGAAUAGCUGGGUCAAAUGGUGGUUCCAUUCCCAAUUUUCCAUGGAAUCUCCAUACUGCUUUCCAUAUUGGCUGCACCAAUUUGCAGUCCCACUGGCAGU
RNAcentral lists this microRNA precursor (103 nucleotides) under Marmota monax (woodchuck). The record is from RNAcentral. Lineage: Eukaryota; Metazoa; Chordata; Mammalia; Rodentia; Sciuridae.